This 1340-nucleotide long non-coding RNA is filed under the name Vulpes vulpes (red fox). RNAcentral's name for it is "lncRNA (ENSVVUG00000029995.1)". The record is from RNAcentral. Lineage: Eukaryota; Metazoa; Chordata; Mammalia; Carnivora; Canidae.
GUCAAGAUCCCAGGAAGAGUGUUUCUCAGUAAGAAUGUAAGGUGCAAGGCAGAUGAACAUAUUGCAUAUUGAAGGGGUUUAAAUAGUGUAUGCCCUCAAGGACUGAGGAUUCAAGGCAGUAGACCUGCUAAACUUAAAGUCACAGGGUAAGACUGACAUCUUUUUGAAUUAUCUGAAUCUGGUGGGACAGAAUUUUAGUUGGCUAUUUUAUUAUCUCACACUUAACUUCUUUUUAUUGAUUAAAUUUUAAUUGAUUAAAUAUUUUGUGUAGGUGAACAUUUAUGUGUUUUGUUGACAUACUGAUAUGAUUACAGAGUGAAAGUUAAGCAUUAUACGUGCUAUUGUAAAGAAAAGGAGCAUUAUGUAACUUAUUUCAUAUCCAAACAUGUAUGGUAUGUAAGACUAGUCAGUCAAAUCACCAAAAAACAUCAAUCUAUUAGGGGCAAGAAGAUUCUUGGAAUUUCCUAAUUAGAAUAUUUUACCCUUUAGAAAUAAUUGUUUAUUUCUGGCAUAUAUAUCCAGAACCUUGAAAUACCCAAUUGAUCAGAAAGUUUUUAGAUCAUGAGUUGACCAAAUUUAUAUGGUAAUCAGAGAAGUUUCUUGUGUAUAGAAAAUUCACGGGAUGCCUGAGUGGCUCAUCGGUUGAACGUCUGCCUUCAGCUCAGGCCCUGAUCCCAGGUCAGGGGAUCAAGUCUCACAUCAGGCUCCCUGUGAGGAGCCUGCUUCUCUGUCUUUCUAUGUCUCUGCCUCUCGCUGUGUCUCUCAUGAAUAAAUAAAUAAAUAUAUUUUUAGAAAAAGAAAAAAGAAAAUUCACGUGGAGGUUGUGAAGUAAUAAGGCUUUAAUGACAACCUAUGUUUUAGUACAAAAUAGAAUUUAGACCACUUCUGACGAUGUGUUUUGCAUCAAUGCUAUCAGGAAUCUAAUGGAAAAUGCAGAUGACUGGGCCCCUGUCCUAACAAUUCACCCUGUCACCAAUAAGACAGCCAUUCACCUGCUCAAAGGAUGUGGGGAAAUGCUAAACUUUCAGAAAUUGUGUGUAUACCUAUGCAUUUACAUUGAGUAUUUUUUAGGAAAAAAAUUAAGUGAGUUUUACAAAGACUUUUUUGUUACCAAAAAGUCUAGGUCAACCCUAGGUGUUACUUCAAUUUGAUAGUACUGAUGACAAAAAAAAAUUGAAUUAGAUUCUACAGCAAGCAAAAGACUAAUUUUCACACAUGCGCUUUGUUAUAAUGUGACUAAAAUUAAAAUAUUGGUGUGUAUGAUAUAAACAAUUGAGUAAAGCAGAACGAGCAGCAGUAUGUACCUUGAAAGAAAAUAAAUGAUAUCGUUUGAAAUGCCA